UGAACAUUCUCCUGAAGCACACAUGGAACAUUCUUUAGGACAGAUCACAGGAUUGAUCUCAAAACAAGUCUUGACAAACUUAAGAAGAUCUACAUCAUUCCAAGCCUCGAGCGGGACCAGUACACGUGGCUGCCCUGCCCCAAGGAAGAACAGCAGACACAGCAGGUAGACACCAGGGACAUUGAGCCUCAGCACCAGGGUGACAACAGGGAAUGCUGAGGACUGAGGUAAAGUGGCAACAUCAUGCUCCACUGUGCCCUGCAGGAUGUGGGUUUUGUGUGGCCACAUCCCUUGGUUUGUGACAAUGUCAAGAAUCUGGAUUCUCUUUUCUUCUUGUGAAAUCUCCUGCUUUCUCAUUGCUUGCCAAGUUGUUUAAAAAGAAAAAAAGAAUGGUUCAGUCUAAGCACAACAUCACUGCUGGCUGCUGUUUCCCAUCUGCGGACCAUCCAUUUGCAACUCGUCAGUUCAAUAAUCACGACCAGCACCACCCCCCAGCUACAUUUGGGGACAUGCUCAGAGAAAGAGUGGGGAGUUUGUGGAGCUGCUCUUGGUAAGAGCAUCCUCUUGGUUUAAAUUGGAGCUGGAAGUGUUUUCCUCAGUUCAAAGCCAAGGUGGAAAUGAAGCAGUUGCCAUUACUGUCAGAUGGCCCUUAUGGUCAGAUGCAGUGAAAGGGCCUACAGAUUCCAGCUCUUUCUUUGUUUUCUCCGCUCCAUUCAUAUUUAUCCCUGCUGCUGACCUUGCUGAUCAACAAUGGCCUCAGUCCACCACCAGACACUUAGCUGCAGAAGCAGUGAGUAUGCAGAAGUGAUAGCUUCUCGCAGAUGUCUCCACAAGCUCCUAUCUGGGGUGACCUAGAAGCUUUGACUUGUCCCUCUGUGCCAGCAUGUCAGGUGGGUUGGCUGCUGAAUCCUCUCUAUGAUACGUUGUGGACUCUUACUUCCUAAUGUCUUCCAGAACCAUACAUGGUCGUAUUCCAUGCAACUUACUGGCUCUAUUCUCGUGACUGAACCCUGACUCCUACUAUGUAGCAAUCCCGUCAUUGC
This is a long non-coding RNA of Canis lupus familiaris (dog), 1043 nucleotides long. RefSeq lists it as uncharacterized. NCBI's taxonomy places the organism in Eukaryota, Metazoa, Chordata, Mammalia, Carnivora, Canidae. The record is from RefSeq and is a predicted model, not a curated record. The transcript is spliced from 4 exons.